Molecule: ribosomal RNA, 468 nt
Filed under: uncultured bacterium
Lineage: Bacteria
Description: partial 16S ribosomal RNA
Rfam family: Bacterial small subunit ribosomal RNA
Source: RNAcentral
GACGAACGCUGGCGGCGUGCUUAACACAUGCAAGUCGAACGGAAAGGCCCUGCUUUUGUGGGGUUCUCGAGUGGCGAACGCGUGAGUAACACGAGAGUAACCUGCCCUUGACUUUCGGAUAACUUCAGGAAACUGGGGCUAAUACCGGAUAGGAUCUCCUGCUGCAUGGUGGGGGUUGGAAAGUUUCGGCGGUUGGGGAUGGACUCGCGGCUUAUCAGCUUGUUGGUGGGGUAGUGGCUUACCAAGGCUGUGACGGGUAGCCGGCCUGAGAGGGUGACCGGCCACAUUGGGACUGAGAUACGGCCCAGACUCCUACGGGAGGCAGCAGUGGGGAAUAUUGCACAAUGGGCGGAAGCCUGAUGCAGCGACGCCGCGUGCGGGAUGACGGCCUUCGGGUUGUAAACCGCUUUCGGCUGUGACGAAGCGUGAGUGACGGUAAUGGGUAAAGAAGCACCGGCUAACUACGUG